This is a long non-coding RNA of Mus musculus (house mouse), 2171 nucleotides long. RefSeq annotates it as predicted gene, 20758. NCBI's taxonomy places the organism in Eukaryota, Metazoa, Chordata, Mammalia, Rodentia, Muridae. The transcript is spliced from 6 exons. The record is from RefSeq and is marked validated.
CUGGCUAACCAGCACAAGAUCAGGCAUGUGAGAAGACACUUAUGGCUGUCCAUCAUUUUUAAAUGCACCAGAACCUUCAACUCAGUAAACAGCAGAGAGGAGAGGACACUAUGAACCCAAGUCCAGUCCUUUCUCCUGCAGUAUUGGACUAAAGGAUUGAAUUGACAAUAGCAUGAGUUUUCACUACGAGCAAUGGAAACCUGAUUCUGCCAAGAUCUAACAUGCAAGCCUGCAAUGGGGUUCUGCAGCUCACUUUCUGUUGCUGUGAUAGAGGACUUACCAAAAGACUUCUGGAGAAGAGCUUUCCCUUUACUUCAUCUUAUAGGUUGGAGUCCAUCAUCGAGGAAAACCAAGAUCUUGAACAGAGAACUGAAUACAUCCUGCCCAGGCUUCUGAUUGAACUCCGAGAUAAUGAGCUUAGUUUAUUGCUCAUAAGCUUGCGGUGACUUGCUCUGCCACCAUGGAACGUGAAUACGGGCAGCAAGAACAGUGUACUCUGUAGCCCAGGCUAGCCUCACCCUCAGCAAUCGUCCUGUUACGCCUUCCACGUGCUGAGAUCGCAGGUACACGCAAUCAUAUUUGCCUUAGUGACCUUCUACACGAUGUCUCGUGUAACUGUAAAAACAGCUCCCGAGUUUCAAACCUCAUGACAAGUUUGGAACGAGCUGAGAACAAGGUGUAGUGGAAGGCUCUUAGAGAGAGUGUUAGGAUAGUGCAAGGUGAUAUAAAGCCUGAACAUCUCACAGAGUUUUAUUACAGAGUUGCUUGAUAACUAUAACCCAGAUGGACUACCCAGGGUCAUCGACCAGUGGCUAUGAGGGGCAAGAAAGGUCCUUGGAAACUUUUCUCAGGACUCAGAUGUGAGUAUUAGAAGUGCAUCAGAGAAUGCAGUGAGACCAACGGUACACUCGGGCAGUGGAGGAAAGCAAAACAAGUCUUAAAUUAACGGCGCCUGCAGAAGAGAAAGAAAGGGUGAGAUCCGUAAAGCAAACUAAGAGUUCCGAACGCGGACCUUUGCCUUUGGAACACUCUGACCCAGGUCUCUCUAGUGAGCACUGCUAGGCGCACAUCAGGACCUCGCGGGCGGCUCCAAGUGUGGAGGUGGAAGGCUUGAGGUCAUCACAGGUGACCUCUGGGAGCUCCAUCUACGCUCGGCACCUCCCUGGCUCUCUCUCCAUCAAGCUCUGAGACGUCUCUUCCGUUGUCCUUGUUACCACCCCCUCUUUUCCCACUGAGCUAUUUCAGUGAUGAGAACCAGAGGAUUCGACCCAAGUAGAGUCCUUAUACAAGGAUGGAGGACACUAUUUGUCCCAGAUUAAAGGAAGCUUCCCCAAACUACACAGCUCUCUACGCUGUCUGAAAAUUGUCUCUUGCCUAUGUGGACCCUCAAUGAACUUGCUAGCAAAACAUAACUGCUUUUUACCACUUAGCAAUAAAUAAUAAUAAUAAUAAUAAUAAUAAUAAUAAAGAUGUGCUCUCAUUCUCUACAGAACAGAAUUGUAUAACUUUUAGAUAAUUUGUAGAUAACUCUUAAGGAGAAGAACAUGAAAUUAAUAUCAAGUUGUCUACAGUCUGGGCUCCCAAUGAUCAAACAUCUUGCCUGAUUUUUUUUUUUUAAAGAAAAGUUUUGCAGGCAAGCAGGAUGGCUUGUUGCUAAGUCUAAGGAUCUGACUUCUAUCAUGGAUAAUCCAGUGGUGGAGCAUAAUUUUCUACUGUUAUGAAUCAUAAUGUAAAUAUCUUAUAUUUUCCCACAGUCUUAAGCAACCCCUGUGAAAGAAUCAUUUGACCCCCAAAGGGGUCUCAAACCACAGGUUGAGAACCACUGGCCUAGACAUACCCUACCCAUAUACAUAAACACACCGACAAAUACAUAAAUGAUUUUAAAAGUGUUUCAAAACAAGUUUCUGCCUGACCACUAAGUCUUAGGGCUAUGAACACGGAGUUCAAUGUCAAGGGUGUUUUGAAAAUGUCAAGGAAAAAAAAAUGUGCUUGCUAGGCAAGUUCAGUGAUAUCUGGACAGAUUUCUUGAGCAGAUGGCUAAUAACAGUUAAUCAUCACAUAUUAUUUGUAUUCUGUGUCUCAUCAUUUUACCCUCUCGCAUGGUUAAAUUACGCUUGCCUUUGGACAUGACCCAGUGUAGUAGAGAAUUCUAAAUAAACAUUUUAAUGGUG